Molecule: long non-coding RNA, 1334 nt
Filed under: Mus musculus (house mouse)
Lineage: Eukaryota; Metazoa; Chordata; Mammalia; Rodentia; Muridae
Description: long non-coding RNA chr12:31472583-31473917
Source: RNAcentral
AGCUCCUGGAUUUGCUUAAAAGAAAACAAACAACAGUUGUGGCUAGGCCUUCAGCUGUGGGCUACAAAUGGACCGUGAAGGCAGAGAUAGCUCAGUGGCUUGCUGAAGGCAGAAAUAGCUCAGUGGCUUGCUGAAGGCAGAAAUAGCUCAGUGGCUUGCUGAAGGCAGGGAUAGCUCAGUGGCUCAGUGGCUGUCGAGCUUGAUGUAAGUCUGAUCGCUAGAACCCACGUGGUAGAAGCAGAGGACUAAAUCUUUCGAGUUGUCUCCUGACCUCCACCUGUGCACCACGCAUGCCCCUCUCUCCAUCAAAUGAAUAAAUGUAAAAAAGAAACUAAAAACAAGAUGUCCAACUGACAUACAAGGGUGACUCAAAACAAAUGUAAGAAAAUAUAAUGCUGUGACUAUUGUAUUGUAUUGUAUUGUAUUGUAUUGUAUUGUAUUGUUACAUGCUUAAGAUACAAAUAAGUCUUUGAAACACAUACAAAGUAACUCAUGGAUCUGUGAUAACCAAGCAACAAUGGAAGGCCAUUAAAGAUUCUUUAAGCUGAAAAGAUGGCUCAGUAAAAGCACUGGUUGCUCUUCCAAAGGGCCAGGGUUCAGAUCCCUACACUAGCCUGGCAGCCCAUGACAAUCUGCAACUCAAGUCCUAUCCUGACCUCCACAGGUGCCAGGCAUAAUACAUACACAUAUGUGCAGGCAUAAUACAUACACAUAUGUGCAGGCAUAAUACAUACACGUAUGUGCAGGCAAAACUCCCACAUAAAUAAAUCUUCUAAAGAGAUUUUUUAAAAUUAUCUUUUUUUGGUAACUGCUAAGUUCCAGAUCCUAGGAAACAGUUCCUGAAAGGUGAACUUAACAGACUAAAACAAUCACUUUGCUUUCUUCCAGGUACCAGUUGAAACGAAAUUCUAAUCAAGAUACAAUUCGGAAGGAUUCUCAUCUGUCAUAACAAAAACAACCUUAUACCUAGAAAGUUAUUGCUAAGUUCAUACAUUGUAUGAACGAUAUUUUUAUUUGACAGAAUUAUGUUUCAAACUUUGGAACGAGAUUGUUCUAGCAUGGUAUAUUUUUCACAUAUCUAGUUAUGAAAUUAUGUACAUAUUCCUAAUUUUCUACCUUGUAGACUUAUCAAGGGUAGAAAAGUAUUUUGUUUAUUGUAUUUUUGUAGCGCAGACCGAUUCCUUUCCAAGUCAUUAUCUUCUUGCUCAACAUUUUAUGGUGUAUUUACACCACUGCUUUGACUCCAAUUUUUACAGGUCAUGCUAAUAUGUCUCUAUUUUAAACAAUUAAGCUGUACGGGUGUGUGCUAUUUUAUUAAAUGUGUCAGUUUUCUG